AGAGAGAGAGAGAGAGAGAGAGAGAGAGAAAUGAUAAAGAGAGAGAGAGAGAGAGAGAGAGAGAGAGAGAGAGAGCUAUCUUUAAUAAACCCUUUUCUUUAAAUUACAUGCAAAAUUUUAUAUGAAAGAGAGAGAGAGAGAGAAUAUAUUUUUAUCAUCAAAUAUAAUAAUAAUAAUAAUAAUAAUAAUAAUAACAAUAAUAAUUCACAGUUUUAGAGCUUUAUAGAAGAAAACAAACAAACAAACAAACUCACUUCCUGUAUCAAACACGUCUUGCUCACUCUGGAGGUCACUUUGAGGUCACCAAGUCAUGUUAGGUCACUUGGAGGUCACCAGGUCACUUUAGGGGGUCACCAGUUCAUCUUAAGGUUACAGGAGGUCAUUUUUAGGGGGUCACCAGGUCAUGUUAGGUCACUGAGGUCACCAGGUCAUUUUAGGGGGUCACCAGUUCAUCUUAGGUCACAGGAGGUCAUUUUAGGGGUCACCAGGUCAUGUUAGGUCAGUCUGGAGGUCAUUAGGUCCCUGAAGGUCAUUUUGGGAGGUCACCAGGUCAUGUUAGGUCACUUUGAGGUCACCAGGUCACUUUCGGGAUCACCAUGUCAUGUUAGGUCACUUUGAGGUCACCAGGUCACUGUUGGGGGUCAUUAGGUCACUUUGAGGUCAUUUUAGGUGUCACCAGGUCAUGUCAGGUCACUUUGAGGUCACCAGGUUACUUUAGGAGUCACCAUUUCAUGUUAGGUCACAGGAGGUCACUUUUGGGGGUCACCAGGUCAUGUUAGGUCACUUUUAGGGGUCAUGAGGUCAGUUUGAGGUCACCAGGUCAUGUUAGGUCAUUCUGGAGGUCACCAUGUCACUUUUGUGGGUCAUUAGGUCACUGAGGUAAUUUUUGGGGUCACCAGGUCAUGUUAGGUCACUUUGAGGUCACCAAGUUAAUCUGGAGGUCAUUAGGUCAUGCUAGGUCACUCUGGAGGUCACUAGGUCAUGCUGGGUCAUUCUGGAGGUCAGUUUGGGGGUCUGGUCAAAUAGUCACCAUUAAUUUUCUCUCACUUUCUCACAUUAGUCACCAAAAAUUCUCUCUCUCUCUCUCUCUCUCUCUCUCUCUCUCUCUCUCUCUCUCUCUCUCUCUCUCUCUCUCUCUCUCUCUCACAUUAGAAGUCACCAAUAUCUCACUCUCACUCUCUCACAUUAGAGUCACCAAGAUCACUCUCUCACUCUCUCACAUUAGAAGUCACCAAUAUCUCUCUCUCUCUCACUUUCUCACAUUAAAAAUCACCAAUAACUCUCCCUCACUCUCUCACCCUCUCACAUUAGAGUCACCAAGAUCACCAUUUCAUCCCUCCAGUAGUAUAGACAUAAGGUUAAUAUUAGCUUGAAAUUGUAAAAAAAAAUAAUAUUAGAUUUUUUUAGAGGCCCAGAACUAGAAAUGGACAGAAAAACACCUUUACCACACAGAGAAUUAAGGUACAAAAUUAGAUGCACACCCUGUUAGUCGCUCAGUCGUUCUUUCACUCGCUCAGUCACACUUAAACGCCACAAAAACACUCAAAACACCACAAAAACACCUUAAAAACACCACAAAAA
RNAcentral lists this long non-coding RNA (1581 nucleotides) under Portunus trituberculatus (swimming crab). RNAcentral's name for it is "uncharacterized LOC123504611". Lineage: Eukaryota; Metazoa; Arthropoda; Malacostraca; Decapoda; Portunidae. The record is from RNAcentral.